Molecule: long non-coding RNA, 847 nt
Filed under: Nicotiana tabacum (common tobacco)
Lineage: Eukaryota; Viridiplantae; Streptophyta; Magnoliopsida; Solanales; Solanaceae
Description: long non-coding RNA (NTAB_LNC008360)
Source: RNAcentral
UAGGGCAUAUGUGUCACGCCUCGAACCUUGGGAGGCAUAGCAGGCACCCGGUGUCGUGCUGGCCCGAGCGAACCACUCUGUAACUCAUGAUCGUUCGACCACACUACAACAUACAUAGGCCGAGUUGGCUGAACUCAUUCCUUUUAUAACUAUCAUGGGCCCACAUGGCCACAACUCAUAAUGUACAACUAUUAGUGAAAAACACUGUAUCACUAAACCAUUUUUCUUAAAACAUGAAUACAUAUGGGCCGUCAAGGCCUCUGACAUACUGUACAAAAUGAACCUCUAUCUACAAAGCCUCUAAGACUAUUUGACAUCUAAUGAGAUAGGGUACCUGCCUACCCAUAAGUCUGUAGCAAAACUCUGACGCGAUGACUCAUAGACUCGGCUGCACAUCGAAUGAGGUGGAGUCUUACCGAUCCUCGCUAAAUGCCAAUCUCAUCUGCUAUGAGUGAUCGUCAAACUGAUUAUUUAUACCUGCAGACAUGAAUGUAGUGUAUCCAAUAAAAGGACGUCAGUACGAAUAAUGUACUGACUAUGGAAGACACAUAAAUAAGUACAUAAAUGACAUGGAAGAAAUAUAGAGUAAAUGACUCAACCUGUAAGUCUGGAUCACUCUGUAAAUCAUGGAAUACUUGUAGUGUCAUGCAUAUGCGUAUGAAUGUCAUAUCGAGCAUAUGUACAUGUGUUCAUGACAUCAUCAAGCCUCUGAGGGCAUCCCAUCAUAUCAUCUCGGCCAUUGUGGGCAAAAUCAUCAGCGUAUGCCAGCUGAUCAGGUGAUGGUGCGUAUAUAACACCAUAACCUUUCCUAUAUAUAUAUAUAUAUAUAUAUUACGCGUAUAUAANN